RNAcentral lists this ribosomal RNA (450 nucleotides) under uncultured bacterium. RNAcentral describes it as "bacterial SSU rRNA". It matches the Rfam family "Bacterial small subunit ribosomal RNA", at positions 340 to 779 of the family's 1533-position model. The record is from RNAcentral.
UACGGAAGGCAGCAGGGGGAAUAUUGCACAAUGGGCGAAAGCCUGAUGCAGCUAUGCCGCGUGUAUGAAGAAGGCCUUAGGGUUGUAAAGUACUUUCAUCGGGGAGGAAAAAACAAAACUAAUAAUUUUAUUUCUUGACGUUACCCGAAAAAGAAGCACCGGCUAACUCCGUGCCAGCAGCCGCGGUAAUACGGAGGGUGCUAGCGUUAAUCAGAAUUACUGGGCGUAAAGAGCACGUAGGUGGUUUUUUUAAAGUCAGAUGUGAAAUCCCUGGGCUUAACCUAGGAACUGCAUUUUGAAACUGAAAUACUAGAGUAUCGUAGAGGGAGGUAGAAUUCUAGGUGUAGCGGUGAAAUGCGUAGAUAUCUGGAGGAAUACCUGUGGCGAAAGCGGCCUCCUAAACGAAUACUGACACUGAGGGUGCGAAAGCGUGGGGAGCGAAACAGGGAU